ACUCAAAGGAAUUGACGGGGGCCCGCACAAGCAGCGGAGCGUGUGGUUUAAUUCGACGCUACGCGAAGAACCUUACCUGGGCUUGACAUGCUGGUGGUACUGAUCCGAAAGGUGAGGGACCCUUCGGGGAGCCAGCACAGGUGCUGCAUGGUUGUCGUCAGCUCGUGCCGUGAGGUGUUGGGUUAAGUCCCGCAACGAGCGCAACCCCUGUCGUUAGUUGUACUUUUCUAACGAGACUGCUGGGAGAAACCCAGAGGAAGGCGGGGAUGAAGUCAAAUCAGCACGGCCCUUACGUCCAGGGCUACACACACGCUACAAUGGGCAGUACAGACGGUCGCAAAGCCGCGAGGUGGAGCUAAUCCGACAAAGCUGUCCUCAGUUCAGAUUGCAGGCUGAAACUCGCCUGCAUGAAGGCGGAGUUGCUAGUAACCGCAGGUCAGCAUUACUGCGGUGAAUACGUUCCCGGGCCUUGUACACACCGCCCGU
This 486-nucleotide ribosomal RNA is filed under the name uncultured bacterium. RNAcentral describes it as "partial 16S ribosomal RNA". It matches the Rfam family "Bacterial small subunit ribosomal RNA", at positions 899 to 1397 of the family's 1533-position model. The record is from RNAcentral.